GAUGAACGCUAGCGGCAGGCUUAACACAUGCAAGUCGAGGGGUAGUAUAGCAAUAUAUGAGACCGGCGCACGGGUGCGUAACGCGUAUGCAACCUACCUUGAACAGGGGGAUAGCCCAGAGAAAUUUGGAUUAAUACCCCAUGGUAUUAUUGGAUGGCAUCAUUUGAUAGUUAAAGUUCCAACGGUUCAAGAUAGGCAUG
RNAcentral lists this ribosomal RNA (200 nucleotides) under uncultured bacterium. RNAcentral describes it as "partial 16S ribosomal RNA". It matches the Rfam family "Bacterial small subunit ribosomal RNA", at positions 28 to 233 of the family's 1533-position model. The record is from RNAcentral.